UACGUAGGUGGCGAGCGUUAUCCGGAAUGAUUGGGCGUAAAGGGUGCGCAGGCGGUCCUGCAAGUCUGGAGUGAAACGUAUGAGCUCAACUCAUGCAUGGCUCUGGAAACUGGAGGACUGGAGAGCAGGAGAGGGCGGUGGAACUCCAUGUGUAGCGGUAAAAUGCGUAGAUAUAUGGAAGAACACCAGUGGCGAAGGCGGCCGCCUGGCCUGUUACUGACGCUGAGGCACGGAAAGCGUGGGGAGCAAAUAGGG
This 255-nucleotide ribosomal RNA is filed under the name uncultured bacterium. Its description in RNAcentral is "partial 16S ribosomal RNA". It matches the Rfam family "Bacterial small subunit ribosomal RNA", at positions 524 to 777 of the family's 1533-position model. The record is from RNAcentral.